GUGUUCGUAGAAAGGAGAGAUGGUUGGCAUCUCCCCUGACAGGGACGGGAACAGCCUUCGGGCUUCCCUGUUACCUACACAUCCGGUUAAGGCUCCCCACCCUUCUGGGUGGAUCUCUAACCCAAUUUUUUU
This 132-nucleotide non-coding RNA is filed under the name Manihot esculenta (cassava). Lineage: Eukaryota; Viridiplantae; Streptophyta; Magnoliopsida; Malpighiales; Euphorbiaceae. The record is from RNAcentral.